This is a small nucleolar RNA of Lepidothrix coronata (blue-crowned manakin), 132 nucleotides long. Lineage: Eukaryota; Metazoa; Chordata; Aves; Passeriformes; Pipridae. The record is from Ensembl.
ACCGAGACUAUAGAGUCACAUCUGGGCACUGCCUGUUGUCCUGGUGUGCUGGAGUCCUCGGACAGUAAACACUAAUCUAUUCACUGGCUGUGCCCACUCCUGUCUCAGUCAGUCACCAGGUUAGUGACAGGA